UCACCAGUGCUCGCGUCCCGGCCGUGAUGGCAGCGUGGCGGCGCAAUAAAUAACAAGAUCCCUCACCCGUGUGGCAGCGACGCGUCUUGUGCUGUCUCGCGUCGGCUUGUACGAGGAUACGACGAGUGAUGCGACGAAGCUUUGCGUUACGGUCCUCACGUUGCUGGGAUGCGUGUGGCCAUCAGGAGCGGGCAGACAAAACAACCAACACCGCCUACUGACGCAAAGCCGCUGUCACGGCCAGUGGGACCCUUAGAAGAAACGCCGGCGAAAUUCAUAUUUGUGGCCCCCUGCCGCCCCUGCUACAGGCUGGUGGGGACCAAGUGUAGACGGAUCUUCAGCUGUGCUGCCCGAGGGGUAGACGGGACUCUUACGACGCCUCCGUACCCUGAACCCUUCCAAGGAGAAGACACGACAAUCACCCAAGACCCACUUGGCCUUCACGUUUCAUGAUGGCGGCGUGGCGGUUGUCUACAAUUCAUGACUUCGCCAGAGACUCGUCCAGCCCUAAGAGAGAGGCAACGACGUUAUUCUGCUCGAAUAAAUCCACAUGAAAUGGAAAGACGUCGAAAAAAAAUUGCAUGGCUGACCUCCCUCCGAUUUAUCAAGUGGCAAGACCCACUUCCCAACCAAUAAGGAUGAAGACGAACCUAAUGUAGGCCGUUGAUGCAAGGUACAUGUCAAUAUUAUUAACAACUGGAAUCUGAAGUAUAGAGAGGAAAUAAAAGUAAAG
Molecule: long non-coding RNA, 733 nt
Organism: Eriocheir sinensis (Chinese mitten crab)
Lineage: Eukaryota; Metazoa; Arthropoda; Malacostraca; Decapoda; Varunidae
Exons: 3
Source: RefSeq, a predicted model, not a curated record